CAGAGAACUUGCCCUUCGGGGUAGAUCUCCCCACCCUUUGUUAACAUUACUUUGUUGCUUUGGCAGGCCAGGCAAUGGUCCUACCGGCUUUAUGCUGGCUAGUGCCUGCCAGAGGACCCAAACUCCUAAUCUAAUUUCGUCUGAGUUACUAUACAAUUAGUUA
Molecule: unclassified non-coding RNA, 163 nt
Filed under: uncultured Leotiomycetes
Lineage: Eukaryota; Fungi; Ascomycota; Leotiomycetes
Description: sequence contains ITS1
Source: RNAcentral